RNAcentral lists this transfer RNA (71 nucleotides) under Stegodyphus mimosarum. It matches the Rfam family "tRNA". Rfam says of the family: Transfer RNA (tRNA) molecules are approximately 80 nucleotides in length. The record is from Rfam by way of RNAcentral. Lineage: Eukaryota; Metazoa; Arthropoda; Arachnida; Araneae; Eresidae.
GCCUUCGUGGUGUAACAGUAAUACACUUGGCGCAUAUUCAGAAGGUCUAGGUUCGAAUCUCGGCGAGGGCA